AUUCAACUCUGUGUUUCAACAGUAAAAUACCUGAACUUUCAGAAGUAGCUGCUUGACGAAGAUAGCUGCUGUGAGUUCUUCAUUGAUCAGAAAAAUUCACUUUGACUGGAUUCUUACAAGAAAUGCCUGUUUUCCAGGGCCUCUGAAGCAUCUCACAAGAAGGCUGCAUUGGUCCUCUCACAUGCACUGGACAUUUGCAAGCUUUAAUGAAGAAAAAGACAUGGAGAAGAUACUUAUGUUACACAUACUUUUCUUCAGUAUUGGAAGGCUUGG
Numida meleagris (helmeted guineafowl) is the source of this 273-nucleotide long non-coding RNA. RefSeq lists it as uncharacterized. The record is from RefSeq and is a predicted model, not a curated record. The transcript has 3 exons. NCBI's taxonomy places the organism in Eukaryota, Metazoa, Chordata, Aves, Galliformes, Numididae.